GCCCGUUUGGCUUAGGGGUACAGCGUCGCACUCGUAAUGCGAAGAUCCGCGGUUCGAUUCCGCGAAUGGGCA
This 72-nucleotide transfer RNA is filed under the name Plenodomus lingam JN3. RNAcentral's name for it is "tRNA-Thr (CGT) (tRNA-Thr-CGT-1-1)". It matches the Rfam family "tRNA". Rfam says of the family: Transfer RNA (tRNA) molecules are approximately 80 nucleotides in length. The record is from RNAcentral. Lineage: Eukaryota; Fungi; Ascomycota; Dothideomycetes; Pleosporales; Leptosphaeriaceae.